This 614-nucleotide ribosomal RNA is filed under the name Campylobacter sp. S3h 18. RNAcentral describes it as "bacterial SSU rRNA". It matches the Rfam family "Bacterial small subunit ribosomal RNA", at positions 56 to 686 of the family's 1533-position model. Lineage: Bacteria; Pseudomonadati; Campylobacterota; Epsilonproteobacteria; Campylobacterales; Campylobacteraceae. The record is from RNAcentral.
UGCAAGUCGACGAUGAAGCUUCUAGCUUGCUAGAAGUGGAUUAGUGGCGCACGGGUGAGUAAGGUAUAGUUAAUCUGCCCUACACAAGAGGACAACAGUUGGAAACGACUGCUAAUACUCUAUACUCCUGCUUAACACAAGUUGAGUAGGGAAAGUUUUUCGGUGUAGGAUGAGACUAUAUAGUAUCAGCUAGUUGGUAAGGUAAUGGCUUACCAAGGCUAUGACGCUUAACUGGUCUGAGAGGAUGAUCAGUCACACUGGAACUGAGACACGGUCCAGACUCCUACGGGAGGCAGCAGUAGGGAAUAUUGCGCAAUGGGGGAAACCCUGACGCAGCAACGCCGCGUGGAGGAUGACACUUUUCGGAGCGUAAACUCCUUUUCUUAGGGAAGAAUUCUGACGGUACCUAAGGAAUAAGCACCGGCUAACUCCGUGCCAGCAGCCGCGGUAAUACGGAGGGUGCAAGCGUUACUCGGAAUCACUGGGCGUAAAGGGCGCGUAGGCGGAUUAUCAAGUCUCUUGUGAAAUCUAAUGGCUUAACCAUUAAACUGCUUGGGAAACUGAUAGUCUAGAGUGAGGGAGAGGCAGAUGGAAUUGGUGGUGUAGGGGUAAAA